RNAcentral lists this ribosomal RNA (253 nucleotides) under uncultured bacterium. Its description in RNAcentral is "partial 16S ribosomal RNA". It matches the Rfam family "Bacterial small subunit ribosomal RNA", at positions 524 to 776 of the family's 1533-position model. The record is from RNAcentral.
UACGAGGGGUGCAAGCGUUGCUCGGAAUUAUUGGGCGUAAAGGGUAGGUAGGUGGUCUCAUUUGUCCGGGGUGAAAGCCUUGAGCUUAACUCAAGAAGUGCCCCGGAAACGGUGAGACUGGAGUCCUGGAGAGGGACACGGAAUUCCGGGUGGAGUGGUGAAAUGCGUAGAGAUCCGGAGGAACACCGAAGGCGAAGGCAGUGUCCUGGCGCGUAACUGACGCUGAGGUGCGAAAGCCAGGGGAGCGAACGGG